This 440-nucleotide ribosomal RNA is filed under the name uncultured bacterium. RNAcentral describes it as "partial 16S ribosomal RNA". It matches the Rfam family "Bacterial small subunit ribosomal RNA", at positions 338 to 795 of the family's 1533-position model. The record is from RNAcentral.
CCUACGGGUGGCAGCAGUAGGGAAUAUUGCUCAAUGGGGGAAACCCUGAAGCAGCAACGCCGCGUGGAGGAUGAAGGUUUUCGGAUUUUAAACUCCUUUUGUUAGAGAAGAUAAUGACGGUAUCUAACGAAUAAGCACCGGCUGACUCCGUGCCAGCAGCCGCGGUAAUACGGAGGUUGCAAGCGUUACUCGGAAUCACUGGGCGUAAAGAGCGCGUAGGCGGGAUAGCAAGUCAGAUGUGAAAUCCUAUGGCUUAACCAUAGAACUGCAUUUGAAACUGUUAUUCUAGAGUAUGGGAGAGGUAGGUGGAAUGCGUGGUGUAGGGGUAAAAUCCGUAGAGAUCAAGAGGAAUACUCAUUGCGAAGGCGACCUACUAGAACAUAACUGACGCUGAGGCGCGAAAGCGUGGGGAGCAAACAGGAUUAGAUACCCGGGUAGUC